UUCGUAGGCGGUGUGGCAAGUCGGGAGUGAAAUCUCUGGGCUCAACCCAGAGACUGCUUCCGAAACUGCUGUGCUUGAGUGUGAGAGAGGCUCGUGGAAUUGCAGGUGUAGCGGUGAAAUGCGUAGAUAUCUGCAGGAACACCCGUGGCGAAAGCGGCGAGCUGGAUCACUACUGACGCUGAGAACGAAAGCUAGGGAGCAAACA
This 205-nucleotide ribosomal RNA is filed under the name uncultured bacterium. RNAcentral's name for it is "partial 16S ribosomal RNA". It matches the Rfam family "Bacterial small subunit ribosomal RNA", at positions 568 to 774 of the family's 1533-position model. The record is from RNAcentral.